GUAAAUGCAACCUAGCUAUUACGCUCCUCUCCUGGCUGCCAGAUAUAGGAACAUCUCCUGUCAGAUGGAUAAUUCCUGGGAUUUUUACAGUUUGACACAUAAAUGACAUAGCUGAGGAUUCGCAGCUUCCAAUUCUGUUCUACGCUCUGCCUUUUUUUCUGCCUUUUUUUUAUAGCAUGUUUCUCCUGCGGCUGAGAAAAUCCCACCAGGCAAGUGAUGGAAUCUACACUACCAACGUCCUAAGAGUGCACACAGCAUAAUCCUGCUCCGCUUUACUUCGGGAGGACCGUUUCCCAUUUUGGUUAAGGAGAAGUUCAUAAACACCGAUGGGAGAGGGUCACCGUUGGCCCCAACCUCCUGCAGGAAGAAGCAGCAUCCCUGGGGGAGCAGCCCUGUGGCUCCAGCACACGCUGCAAACCCCUUUCUGCAGGAGCUGCUUCAACACUGGGAAAGCCGCAUGCGCUCCCCUCCGGGCUGAUAUCUGAGCGUGCUUGGAGCAAGGCUGCACUGGGAGGGAUGGAUUCCAGAUGUUCGCGUGUCACGUGGGAGCGGUUGGUUUUACAAGCAAGAGAGUUCCCUGAGUAUCUGAUUUUGGCAGCGAUCUCCACUUUUGUCUAAAGAGAAACUGCACAGGAAGUUAGAAAGCACGAGACAAGCGGUAUUCUUGGGUCCUGUGCUUUUCCCAUGUUUGACAAGCUCUGGCCCUGCAUGUGGCCAUCCAGGAGCAAGUUAGAAUCAUAGAAUCAUAGAAUCAUUAAGGCUGGAGAAGACUUCUAAGAUCCCCAAAUCCCAGUCCCAGCCCACCCCCGCAUGCCCACUGCCCACGUCCCUCAGUGCCACAUCUCCACAGCUCUGGGACACCCCUAGGGAUGAUGACCCCCACUCCCUGGCAGCUGUGCCACUGCCUGACUGCUCUUUGGAGAAGGAAUUGUUCCUCAUAUCCAACCUGAACCCAGCUUGAGUUAGAGCCAGCUGGUGCCCAGCCCACACCAUUGCUUCCCUGGAGCCCAUCAGCUGCUGCAAGCAGUCAGCGGUGUGGACAAAACAAAGCAGCAGGAGCUUGCUUCAUAGAAAUGGGGCUUGUAGCCCUGAAGGGGCCCUCGUGAGAAAUGCACGUUAACCAAGCAAUUCUUCUCUCUGCAUUUAUGUAACGUUAGCUGUAAUAUGAGACAUUAAAAAAAAAUCAAUUAUUUGACAAAGAAAUAAACCUAGGAGAAUAAUGUUUGCUCAAUAUAUCACUUCCUUGAAUGAAAUUCACUUUGCCAGGGCCAAGGCAUUAAAAAUACAUUAAAAUAUUUCAAUAUAAAUAGAAUGAGUGGGUUUUACAUUCUUCCCAAACCGCAAAUUCGUAACUUCAUUUGCAUAGGAACUUCUGAGUUCUUUGAUCACUAUUGUAACUGAGCGUACAUAAAAGGAGUGUGCAGAAAAUAAAUGCAGAAAAGUAGAACUGUGGAAAAGAAAAAUGUCAACUGUGGAUAACAGAAACUAGAGACAGUGCAGCAAUGCACAGGUCAGGGCUGACUGCUCUUCACAGCAUGGUUCUGGAUGUUGUGCAGCACUGUCCUGAUGUUGUGUAGGCUUCGAGCUCUUGGCUGUGUCAC
Long non-coding RNA from Gallus gallus (chicken), 1601 nucleotides. NCBI's taxonomy places the organism in Eukaryota, Metazoa, Chordata, Aves, Galliformes, Phasianidae. The record is from Ensembl.